CCUGACAGCUCAGCUGGUAAAGAAUCUGCCUGCAACGCAGGAGAGCCAGGUUCAAUCCCUGGGUCGGGA
RNAcentral lists this transfer RNA (69 nucleotides) under Bos taurus (domestic cattle). It matches the Rfam family "tRNA". Rfam says of the family: Transfer RNA (tRNA) molecules are approximately 80 nucleotides in length. Their secondary structure includes four short double-helical elements and three loops (D, anti-codon, and T loops). Lineage: Eukaryota; Metazoa; Chordata; Mammalia; Artiodactyla; Bovidae. RNAcentral also lists the same sequence under 4 other names. The record is from Rfam by way of RNAcentral.